This 2299-nucleotide long non-coding RNA is filed under the name Melopsittacus undulatus (budgerigar). RNAcentral's name for it is "lncRNA (ENSMUNG00000018270.1)". Lineage: Eukaryota; Metazoa; Chordata; Aves; Psittaciformes; Psittaculidae. The record is from RNAcentral.
GUAAGUACUGAAUUAUGAUCUGUUACUUUCAUUUUUUUAGCUGUUUAUCUCUUCCUGAAAUGGUUAUAUACUUGCAGAUGAGCAUCCUCUGUUUACGGGUAUUUGAAGCUCUUGUUCCAUUUGCUGUGGAGGGAGGUCAUAGAAGAUGUGUUUUUCAAGAAAAUAGUGGGAUUUUAGACAUAAAGAGCAUGACAAUGCAGCUUCCAUGACCACAGGAAAUCUUCUAGACUCAUCAUGAUGUUGUAUCACAUCUCAUGAAGAACUGAAGCUUAUCUUCAUUCAGCAUUCGGCUUUCAUCACGCUUCACAAUGGUGGUCAUGACUAUUUACAACACUGACUCUUCCAAACUAAUGUUGUAUAUAAAAAACUUCAAUCCCUCCUUUUAUUUACUUAUUUAUUUGUUAAUCUGGCUCUUCCCUGGUGUCAUGAGAACUAUUUGUCCCUGCAGCUCCAGGAUGAAGUGAUUUUUGGCAGGUUUUAUUAUGGAUAAAAUAGAAGGGAAAAAGAAAGACUUAAUGGUUCUCUAAUCAAGUUCCAAUAUUUGGCUCUCCCACUGUGCAAUGUCACCAUGUGCCCAUUUUGGCAUCACUUGUACCAUUACUAUUGACAAGCUGCAUGUUUCUAUAAAUAUUCCAGGAAGUAAAUCAAAAAACCCUUAGAAAGAUUUCCUUUUCAGUUUGUAAUUCACUGUUUACUUAAGGUGAGGUUGAAACUUCGAGCUACAGCUUCAAACACUGAAGAACUAAUUGUGCAAUGCCUUAAGCAUACAGAAGCUGGAGAGCAAGUAUUGGGUUUGCCACCAGAUAAAGAAAAGGUACCAUCAAUCUGAGGCAUAACCUACUCAGAGUGUUCUUCAGCAUGAUUUUUGAGAUUUGAAUAUAAAUUCCUUUAUUAACAAGGACUCAGUGAAAAAAAAAAUAGAAGAAAUAAACUAUUUUUGUUACUGGCAGCCCCAUUUUUGCCGAUAUGUCAAUAGGUACCUGCAUAUUCUGUUUAAUUACACCACAAUGGUUGUGCAGUGAAACCACCGAGUAUGGUGCCCACCUGAGUGAGAGUACUCCAAUUGUAACUGAAUAGCUAUAAAUUUGAGCUGAAUUUUUGCCUAGCUGCAAGACCCUACCAUUAGUGCAGCAGCACAGAUUCAGUUUACGUGCUCCACUGGUUACAACAGUCUACUCAGCUGGAUAAACUGGAACACAGUAAGCAUCUCCAGCUGGACUCUUUCCUAGGGCAUUGCUCUUCACUCUCGCAAACCUUCCAGCUCCUACCUUGGCUGCCCCAAACCUCCGCUUCAGUGAGUGUGUUAGAAGAUGGAGAGUAAAGCAGUGUGGUAACUUGUCCCCACCAUCCCUUGGUUUUGACUGCUGCAUGCACUCCUCCUACACAGUGACAGAGUCUGCUAUGUCUGGGUCAUAUGUAAUCCAGUAGUUUACACUAAACAAGCUAAUUCCUCUGUAAGUUUGAUGGACACCAUUAUAAAUACAUGAAGUGGAAAUUGGUCAUUAACUUGAAUUCACAAAUACUCUUAGUAGCUAUAUCUCAUAUUUUGGAUGCUGUUUUUUGGGGGGGGGUUUGGUGUUUUUUUUUUUGUUGUUGUUUUCUAUUUUAGUACAGAAUAGCAUUAGAAAGCUGAUUUUUUUACACAUUACCCCCUCCACCCCCCAGUCCAAUUUCUGCUAGCUAUUAAGAUUACUGGGUAAAGGACUUCCACAUUUUGCAAAAGGUUGUACUGAUUUAUCUUAGGUUAUAUAGAUACCUUUCAAAUAUAUCAAUAAAUUUCAGAAUAAUAAUUUGCAUUCUGAUUUUGAUUCAAGUGAAUCUAUAAGGAACAGAAAACUUUGAGCUGUCUUUUCCUUGCUGAAAUACCAGUUAUUAGAUCCUGAUAUAAAAAAUGUUCCAUUUGGUUUCAGUUUAUUAAUGAAACUGCAAAUUAUCUUUGCAAUCUCAGAGUGUGAUGAACAUAACCACUAGCUUUUGAUUAUGUAGGUGUCUCCUAACUUUUGACCAGUUUGCUUACAAAUAUAUAAAGUGUUUGCCUUCUGGACACAGUGAAAGGAGAAGCUAUUUUACUACAAAUAUUUUUCUAGCUUUUAGUACUAACAGUCCUAAACUGCUUGAAAGUGACAGGACUAGAGAUUUGCCUAUUGAUUUCAGUGGAGCUAUGCCAUUUACAAAAGCUGAGCCCUCAUCUUCAGGAUGAAAUGCAAAACAGUAGCUUGUAUUUGGCACCCUGUGUGCUCAGCAGAAACUGUUAUUGUGACUGAGUCUGUUUAGUAGAGUUUUGGUGUCUUAAUAAAAG